UCUAAAAGUAAUUCAAUCCAAAGUGAUAAAUCGAAAACAAGUAAAACACUUUCAUUUGGCACGAGCAGAUUGAGUUUUGAGAAUAUACCUGUGUUCACUGCUGUCAAGAGAAAACAGUCACUUUUUAGCUAUCUACAUGUAAGGAAUAAUUUAUGGAUGGGAGUACUUUCUCACAUGUGUGUGACUUUAAUUUACCAAAGAUUUUAUUAACAGCGAUAAAAAUAAAAUAAAAAACCCUGUAGUUUGAAAACGAUUAAAAAUUGGAUUUCUGUAGUCAGUUUGUGGUUACAAUUAUGCAAAGUGUACAGAAGCGAAAACUCAACAAAUGUCCAGAUACAAAAUACUGAAGUCUGAGCCCAACUUUUCUGCUGUAUCAGUUUAUUUCUUUAUUUAUUUUUGCCCUACCCCCAACAAUCUUACUGACUACUACCACUGUAGUAAGCAAAGGUAUGCACUGUCCUCUGUCUGGAAGACAUAAAUACGUUAUAUUCUUGCAGUAACAUGCUUUGAUCAAAACCAAUGCAACAACUUACAACUACUUACAUACUUUUGGUUAAGGAAUUAACUGAGGUUUUAUAAAGCCCAAAAGGAGCAGGUUUUGUUGAAUGAUGUAAUAGGAAAAUGUUUGUGUUCAAGUAUUUUGUAGUUGUUAAAAUUCAGGUUUGUUUCGACAUAGUUUGUAGUCUCAAAGGGACUUGUAAUUGAUUUUUCUCCCCAUAGAGUAAAGCACAUACUUUGAACACCUAGUAUUUCCCAAAUUAUGCUCUCGAUGAGAGACUAAUGCAUAUCUUUGCUUGUGACAGUGCCACACAUAUACGCAUCAAAAACAUGAUAUUGUUUCCUGAUGUAUGUGAAAUUUUAUUUUACACUUUUUUCACUGUACUCAGAAAAACAGAAAAUGUGUGUUCUGUCAGUUUUUGGUUCUUAAAGUUUACAUUUUAGUGAAUAGAUGAUUUGCACAUUUACGCAAAAAUCAACAUGCUGUUCUACGAGGCUUAUGGUAGGAGAGGGGAACAAAACAUCAGACUCUGCCGAUGUUUGUGAUUGGCAGUGUUUAUAAUCCUUAAAGGAAUAUGUCUUACUAUAAAACACAGUGGCUCUUCACAUUAAAGACAGUAUUUUUAUGAAACAAAAAACAAAAAAACGACAAAAAAAAUCUAAUGUGAUUUUAAUGGCUUGUAGGAUAUAUUAAUUUAAGUUUCUGAUUUGUUGAUUUUAGGACACUUAACCCGGUCUGAGAGGAACUGCAGAAAGUUUGGAUAUUUAUAAGGAGAGAAACUGGGUUUAGAGACUAGCGUGAUAACACUGGCCCAGACAGGGAGGAGAAGCCACCAUCACAUGCUCAGAACAGCAGCCCAAUGUUUCAAUGCUGUCUUAAGAGAGAAGUGCCUUGUGUUACCCCAAAUUUUGUAAGAACAAGUUGAUGUAAAUGUUCAUUUACCUCAAAUGUUUACAAAACUGUUACUAAAUAAACUUUUUGUACCAUAUAUA
Long non-coding RNA from Alosa alosa (allis shad), 1491 nucleotides. RefSeq lists it as uncharacterized. Lineage: Eukaryota; Metazoa; Chordata; Actinopteri; Clupeiformes; Clupeidae. The transcript is spliced from 2 exons. The record is from RefSeq and is a predicted model, not a curated record.